UAUAUUGGUCCUAACAAUAUUCCUCAUUUAUUCAACAUACUCGUGAAGUUCAGAUCCCAUGCAGUUGGAUUGGUUGCAGAUAUAGAAAAGGCAUUCUUAAUGGUGGGCAUAGAUCAUGUGGACCGAGACAUGCUACGUUUUCUUUGGGUUAAGAACAUUCAGGAACCGAUUCCAGAAAUCAUCGAGUUUCGAUUUACCAGAUUAGUCUUUGGAUUAAGACCAUCGCCUGCUAUGUUGGGAGCUACGAUUAAUCAUCACUUGAAUUUAUAUGAAGACGAGAAUCCUGAUGCAGUCAAAGUAUGAAAGAAUGGCCUGUAUGUCGAUGAUUUAGUUUCUGGGGCUCCGAGUGAUGACGAAGCAUUAGAUAUUUACAAGGGCACCAAAGGCAUCAUGCUAGCUGGUGGUUUCAAUUUACGUAAGUGGGCUUCCAAUUCGAAUACUGUUGUUGAAACUAUAACCCAGGCAGAGAGUAAUAUCGAUUCAGACAACAAACCCUCGUCCCCAGCCAUGAUCGAGGAACCCUCGUCCCCAGCCAUAGUACCCUCGUCCCCAGCCCUGAUCGAAGUACCCUCGUCCCAAGUCGUGAUCGAAGUACCCUCGUCCCCAGCCAUGAUCGAAGUACCCUCGUCCCCAACCGUGAUUAAAGAACCCUCGUCCCCA
Non-coding RNA from Paramuricea clavata, 660 nucleotides. The record is from the annotation of a GenBank genome assembly. Lineage: Eukaryota; Metazoa; Cnidaria; Anthozoa; Malacalcyonacea; Plexauridae.